This 806-nucleotide long non-coding RNA is filed under the name Solanum tuberosum (potato). RNAcentral describes it as "long non-coding RNA (STUB_LNC000219)". The record is from RNAcentral. Lineage: Eukaryota; Viridiplantae; Streptophyta; Magnoliopsida; Solanales; Solanaceae.
ACAAAGACAACCUUUUUAACGAUUUUUAGGUUUAUAUUGAAAGGCAGUUUGAUUUGUUUAUGUUGUUUUUGCACCCUCUUGUCCAACUAUAAAGAUUCACAAACCAAACUUGUUUGUUCUGUUUUUUGAGAUGAGAAAUCUUUAUUACUGCUGAGUAACUCCAAUUUCAAAUGGUUAAGAAAAUACUUUUUCUAUACCUCUUGAGUUUUGAAUAUAUAGUGACUGGCUCGACCACUUUUGAGUUUCCUUUCUCUAAUCGAAUUCAUUCCUCUAAAGGUACUAUCCUUUCUACUGUGGAUCCAUCAAUUUACUGUUUUUAGGCUUGUUAGUGUUAAUGACUACUUUCAUAUGAUUUUAGUUUUUGUCAAGAAUUGUUUAGUUUUCACCAAUGACAAUAUUGUAGUCUGAUAGUUAAAGCCUGAAAGUGUGAAGUUAAAUUUGUGAUUUUAGUGGAGAAAAAAAACGAAGAUCGAAACUUUCUUGAAGAUCUUAUUAACAAAUUUGACAAAACUUUUACAAAGACAACCUUUUUAACGAUUUUUUAGGUUUAUAUUGAAAGGCAGUUUGAUUUGUUUAUGUUGUUUUUGCACCUUCUUGUCCAACUAUAAAGAUUCACAAACCAAACUUGUUUGUCCUGUUUUUUGAGAUGAGAAAUCUUUAUUACUGCUGAGUAACUCCAAUUUCAAAUGGUUAAGAAAAUACUUUUUCUAUACCUCUUGAGUUUUGAAUAUAUAGUGACUGGCUCGACCACUUUUGAGUUUCCUUUCUCUAAUCGAAUUCAUUCCUCUAAAGGUACUAUCCUUUCU